GUGGCUCAAAGGAGUAGAGUGCCAGCCCCAUAUGCUGGAGGUGCAGGUUCAAACCCAGCC
RNAcentral lists this transfer RNA (60 nucleotides) under Otolemur garnettii (small-eared galago). It matches the Rfam family "tRNA", at positions 7 to 64 of the family's 71-position model. From Rfam's summary of the family: Transfer RNA (tRNA) molecules are approximately 80 nucleotides in length. Their secondary structure includes four short double-helical elements and three loops (D, anti-codon, and T loops). Further hydrogen bonds mediate the characteristic L-shaped molecular structure. tRNAs have two regions of fundamental functional importance: the anti-codon, which is responsible for specific mRNA codon recognition, and the 3' end, to which the tRNAs corresponding amino acid is attached (by aminoacyl-tRNA synthetases). tRNAs cope with the degeneracy of the genetic code in two manners: having more than one tRNA (with a specific anti-codon) for a particular amino acid; and 'wobble' base-pairing, i.e. permitting non-standard base-pairing at the 3rd anti-codon position. Lineage: Eukaryota; Metazoa; Chordata; Mammalia; Primates; Galagidae. The record is from Rfam by way of RNAcentral.